GAUGAACGCUGGCGGCGUGCCUAAUACAUGCAAGUCGAGCGAACAGACGAGGAGCUUGCUCCUCUGACGUUAGCGGCGGACGGGUGAGUAACACGUGGAUAACCUACCUAUAAGACUGGGAUAACUUCGGGAAACCGGAGCUAAUACCGGAUAAUAUAUUGAACCGCAUGGUUCAAUAGUGAAAGACGGUUUUGCUGUCACUUAUAGAUGGAUCCGCGCCGCAUUAGCUAGUUGGUAAGGUAACGGCUUACCAAGGCAAUGAUGCGUAGCCGACCUGAGAGGGUGAUCGGCCACACUGGAACUGAGACACGGUCCAGACUCCUACGGGAGGCAGCAGUAGGGAAUCUUCCGCAAUGGGCGAAAGCCCGACGGAGCAACGCCGCGUGAGUGAUGAAGGUCUUCGGAUCGUAAAACUCUGUUAUUAGGGAAGAACAAAUGUGUAAGUAACUAUGCACGUCUUGACGGUACCUAAUCAGAAAGCCACGGCUAACUACGUG
Molecule: ribosomal RNA, 497 nt
Filed under: uncultured bacterium
Lineage: Bacteria
Description: partial 16S ribosomal RNA
Rfam family: Bacterial small subunit ribosomal RNA
Source: RNAcentral